AAGUGCAUCCUUUCCUGUCUCCUCUGGGUGGAGAGGCGGGGAUCAUCUUUAGGACUAUGGGAGGGAAGUACCAUGGGGCAGGCUAGCUCAGUGGACCCCUGUGGAUCAGGAAAUGGGCAAGGAAGGGGCAGUGCAGUGUCAGACCCUGAGCAUGGAGGAGGAAAGUACCUUCUGAAAACAUACAGUUUUUUUUUUCAUACUCAGUUGAAAAUAGACAGUAGCCAGAUCCUUCAUUGGGCAGAACUAGGGCCCAGUGCCAAUGUUAGUACAUGGUCUUGCAGAAAUCCUGAGCCUCAGUUUUUCCAUCUGAAUGUAGAAGAAACAGUGCCUACCUCUGGCCCACCUCCUGGAGGUCUUUCAUCAAGGACUGAAACAAGACUCCCCUUAAGAAUUUGAAGAUCAUUGAGCCUGGAGCUCCCAUGAAAGGAAAAGAAAGCCAAUCUCUGGGUUCUAGGGAGGGGACAUCUGCGAGAAGGUGCAUCCUCUUUAGGGGGCUGACUUUCCUCAUGUAGGUUGUGGAGCUGCACUUGGCAGGGUCUGGUAUCCUUCCAGUUCCUUCCAGUUCUGAGCUCCAACUUCCUCUAAUAAGCCACAUUGGGCCUUGCUAUAGGGAGCUUCCAGACACCUGGCUUGUUCCAGGGUGAGGGAGGAUCAAUAAUGCUGCUGCUUCAGGGGUCCUGUUCUUGAGAAGAAGCUUACAGGUGGAGCCACAGACUGUCUGUCCCAUGGUUGGACCACUGUGGAAAGAGCAUUUUCUGGUUUAACCGAAAUGAGGGAUUGUUAUUUCACCCUUCCUAAAAAUGGGAAAGCGCAUGACAAUGAUCGUUGGCCUGACCUCAAGGGAUUUCCCACUGACACCAUUCUGCUCAGCUCCACAGAACUCUGAGGCAUCUACCUCUACCUCUGCAUUGCUUGGCACCCACCUCCCUAGCAUUUGUGGACUGAAUGAGAGGGACGCCAUAGGACCACUCCUAUACAUACUUGGCACUUUGUUAUUAUUCCUAUGCAAUUGUCAUUCAUUAUUCAUCCACCUUAUGAAUGAGAUUUAUCCACUAUCUAUUUCAUGAAUAGCAUUCCCACUACCUGCUGGCUCUGUGGCCACCCACAAGGUGCUUCACCUCUUAGUCCUCAAUGUCCUCAUCUGUAAAAUGAGGCUACUAUAAUGGUACCUAUCUUGUAAUAUUGAUGGCAGGAAUAAAAUGAAAUAGUAAAUGUAUAUCAUCAUCACUGCUACUUCUGUCCUGUGUCAGGCACUGUGGAUAAAGAGGUGACUAAGAUGCUGGCUCAGUUGGUAGAGCAUGCGACUCUCGAUCCCUGGGUUGUGAGUUCAAGCCCUACGUUGGGUGUAAAAGAUUACUUUAAGAAAGAAUCUCAGAGAGAGAGAGAGAGACAGAUGACUAAGAGGCCUAAAACACCAAUCCUGCUCUCAGGGAGCACAAAAUCAGCUGCAGAAGAGCCCUCAGGUCUGGGAACACAAAGAAGAGUGCCUCCUUCCAGCGACGCUGCGUAUUUUCUUCUGACCUUAAUGGCCCCGGUUUCCCCUCAGUAUUUAAGCGGAACAAGACAGAGGUAAGUGGCAAAUAAACAGUGGUUCCUAUUUACGCUGGCAAUUUCUGUUGAUCGUGGAGAGGCUGCCUGGAAAUUAACUCUGCGGCUGUCUGCUGCGGAGGAAUGUCUGCCACGCACUGAGGGCCACCGGCUCACUGCCGCCCAUUACAGCCCCUCCCGGUUAUCCGCCUGGGUUACAAUGGAGUGGGUGGGUGGGUGUGGUCAGCUGGUGCCCCAAGGUGUUCCUUCUUUCUUUUUUUUUUUUUUAAACAGGCCCCUUCACCUUCUUGGCCUUGGCCUUUAGCCACUAGAGACCCGUGGUUGUCCCCGUGUGGUCUUGGCCAGCAGUGUCAGCGUCCUUCACCAGGGAACUUGGUAGAAAUUCAAAUUCUCCAACCAUCAUGUCCCAGAAAACUCUGGGGGUAGGAUCCAGCAAUCUGUUAUUUUUUUUUUUUUUUAACUUAUUGAGGUAUAAUUCACAUACCAUAAAGUUUACCUGUUUUAAGCAUACUGUUCGAUGACUUUUUAAUAAGUUUAUUGAGUUAGGCAACAAUCCUCUGAACCCAGUUGUAGAACAUUUCUAUAACCCCACUAAAAUCCCUAGUGUCUGUUUACAGUUAAUCCCUUACCCACCCCAGCCCUAGGCAACCACUAAUCUACUUUGUGUCUCCAUAGAUUUGUUCUGGAGGAUCUUUUGAAUCUGGCUUCUUUUACUUAGCAUAAUGUUUUGUUAAUUGUUAACAGCUUUAUUGAGAUAUAAUCCACAUUACCAUACAACUCAUCCAUUUAAAGUGUACAAUUCAAUGGCUUUUUAGUACAUUCACAGUUGUGCAACCAUCACCGCUAUCAAUUUUAGAACAUUUUCGUUACCCCAAAAAGAAGCCCCAUACUCCUUAGUUGUCACCUCCAAAUCCCCCCAUCCCUUCACCCAAGGCAAUCGGUAAUCUACUUUCUGUUUCUAAUACAUUUGUCUAUUUUAUAUAAAUAGAAUCAUAUAAAACGUG
Molecule: long non-coding RNA, 2552 nt
Organism: Leopardus geoffroyi (Geoffroy's cat)
Lineage: Eukaryota; Metazoa; Chordata; Mammalia; Carnivora; Felidae
Exons: 2
Source: RefSeq, a predicted model, not a curated record